RNAcentral lists this transfer RNA (98 nucleotides) under Thitarodes pui. RNAcentral describes it as "tRNA-Ser". Lineage: Eukaryota; Metazoa; Arthropoda; Insecta; Lepidoptera; Hepialidae. The record is from RNAcentral.
GUUAAUAAUAAAAUUGAAAUAAUUUUCCAAUUAAAGAAAUAUAAAUAUAAAGCUUCUAACUUUAAAAUAUAGUGAUUAAUUAUUCAUUAAUAUUUCUU